UUCCUACGGGGGGCAGCAGUGGGGAAUAUUGGACAAUGGGCGAAAGCCUGAUCCAGCCAUGCCGCGUGAGUGAUGAAGGCCCUAGGGUUGUAAAGCUCUUUCGCCAGGGACGAUAAUGACGGUACCUGGAUAAGAAGCCCCGGCUAACUUCGUGCCAGCAGCCGCGGUAAUACGAAGGGGGCUAGCGUUGUUCGGAUUUACUGGGCGUAAAGCGCACGUAGGCGGAUUUUUAAGUCAGGGGUGAAAUCCCAAGGCUCAACCUUGGAACUGCCUUUGAUACUGGAAGUCUCGAGUCCGGGAGAGGUGAGUGGAACUGCGAGUGUAGAGGUGAAAUUCGUAGAUAUUCGCAAGAACACCAGUGGCGAAGGCGGCUCACUGGCCCGGAACUGACGCUGAGGUGCGAAAGCGUGGGGAGCAAACAGGAUUAGAUACCCUUGUAGUCGG
RNAcentral lists this ribosomal RNA (444 nucleotides) under uncultured Methylosinus sp. RNAcentral describes it as "bacterial SSU rRNA". It matches the Rfam family "Bacterial small subunit ribosomal RNA", at positions 336 to 797 of the family's 1533-position model. The record is from RNAcentral. Lineage: Bacteria; Pseudomonadati; Pseudomonadota; Alphaproteobacteria; Hyphomicrobiales; Methylocystaceae.